Mobula hypostoma (lesser devil ray) is the source of this 892-nucleotide long non-coding RNA. RefSeq lists it as uncharacterized. The record is from RefSeq and is a predicted model, not a curated record. Lineage: Eukaryota; Metazoa; Chordata; Chondrichthyes; Myliobatiformes; Myliobatidae. The transcript has 3 exons.
GGGGAAGGAGGGAGAGAGCAAAACGAAUGAAUAUUCGAGGCUUCCACACAGACCUUCGCAGUUAGCUUUCGGGCGAGUCCUUUGUGAUGUCAUCUGAGGUCACCGACCGUGACCCCUCCGUUUCCAGACAGGUGGCAGACCAACUGCUGAUCCCAGUGGUGCCAGCACAGGACAGCUACAUCUUAAUCUAUGUGUAUUCUUGUCACAAUGUCAAGGCAACAACGUAACUGAAGGCCAAGAGCAACUGGCUGAGGCUGGCUAAUUCAAACGAGUGAACAAAGAUUGUGGAUGAGAGCUUCCUCUAUAUUUACCAUCUUCUCCCAAUGACCAGCAGCCUGCAAUGUGUACCCCCUGGAACCGUCAUAGUUUGCACAACAUUGAACUCUCACUGGGGCCAAGUGUAACAUCAAGUGCAAACAGAGAACGUGUCAACAAUGAAAAACCAGCAAGUCAAGGUGUGCUGAUCAUCAGUACUAGCAUCACUAUAGUAUGCUAGUUCUGUCCGACAGUGUCUAACAGCACAUUGUUUAUAUCAAUUUGUCUUUAAUCUACUAUGCUGAUCAGUUGUGGGUGAAUUUUACAGAACACUGUUCCUGUAUCACUUUCAUUCAUUGUAAGAGUUUUUUUUUAAAAGCAUUGAUAUUUUGAUCCCACGUUGAUUUGUAUUCCUGUGUACAAUACCUUAUUCUGGUGUAUUCAUAUCUACCUAGGAUAUUUCUUUUGGCAGACAUCUAGCGGCGUCAUUGGUUAGAUGUACACAAUAUCCUCACACUCAGGCUUCAAGUGCUUCUAGAACCAUCAGGAUGCUCAGAAGGACAGCCAUACAACUAUAAAAUGAAUGUUGUAACUUCCGUUAAUGCCCCUCCUCCCCUUCUUACCCCAUCCCUUAUUU